Molecule: ribosomal RNA, 253 nt
Filed under: uncultured bacterium
Lineage: Bacteria
Description: partial 16S ribosomal RNA
Rfam family: Bacterial small subunit ribosomal RNA
Source: RNAcentral
GACGUAGGGCGCGAGCGUUGUUCGGAUUCAUUGGGCGUAAAGGGUGCGUAGGCGGCGCGGUAAGUCGGGUGUGAAAUCUCGGAGCUUAACUCCGAAACUGCAUUCGAUACUGCCGUGCUUGAGGACUGGAGAGGAGACUGGAAUUUACGGUGUAGCGGUGAAAUGCGUAGAUAUCGUAAGGAAGACCAGUGGCGAAGGCGGGUCUCUGGACAGUUCCUGACGCUGAGGCACGAAGGUCAGGGGAGCAAACGGG